CAAUGGCUAUAACAAAGGGAAGCGAAGCCGCGAGGUGAAGCAAACCCAAAAAAGUAAGUCCCAGUUCGGAUUGAAGGCUGAAAUUCGCCUUCAUGAAGCCGGAAUUGCUAGUAAUGGCAGGUCAGCAUACUGCCGUGAAUACGUUCCCGGGCCUUGUACACACCGCCCGUCACACCAUGAGAGUUGGCAAUACCCAACGUACGUGAUCUAACCCGCAAGGGAGGAAGCGUCCUAAGGUAGGGUCAGCGAUUGGGGUGAAGUCGUAACAAGGUACC
Molecule: ribosomal RNA, 275 nt
Filed under: uncultured bacterium
Lineage: Bacteria
Description: partial 16S ribosomal RNA
Rfam family: Bacterial small subunit ribosomal RNA
Source: RNAcentral